UCUGUGCCAGCUGUAACUGCGUUUAAAACGGCGUUUUAUUGAAAUUAUGCAGGGCACUCCCCAUGGUUCCCUCAUCCAAUUACUUUCAACUCAUUUCACCCAAUCAAAGAAGAGGAAGUGCAGACCACACUAAUGCAUCACCGAUUCACCUUGCUGCUAAGUGAUUGCCUAUUCGGUACCAGUGCUUGUUACCCACUAUGCAUUUUGAUGUGUUUAAAGCAUGAUCAAACAAGCAAACGACGGAAUGCUUUUUCUGAAACAAGACCUUAACUUUGUGGCGCAUGGGUCGCUUGUUUACUUGAGGGAUCAGCUAUUAGCGCUGCGCUACCGCAGUGUAGCAUUAUGAUGCUAACGGAGUCCUGGCUAACACCGCAAACUCCGAACAUGAGUGUGGAGCUGCCCGGCUUCCAGAUGCUGCGGGCGGACAGGACGAGAGACAGCGGUGAGAGGAAAGGAGGGGGACUGGGCAGUGUUUGUUAAAGACAACUGUGGGACCCCUGGGCACAUUGCUGUGAAAGAACAACUCUGCAACAGAGACAUUGAGCUAUUAGCCGUUAGCAUCCGUGGAGGCAGCCUGUGACUCUCUGUGGUCCGCAGACUGCAAACGCAAUCUCCGAGAGCUCUUCUUCUAAUAUCAGGGGACUUUAAUCAUGUCUCGCUGGACUCCACACUGCCCACCUUCACCCAAUAUGUGACCUGCCCCACCGUAGGCAAUAAAACAUUGUACUUGUAUGCCAGUGCAGAAGAGGCAUACAGUUCAUCUUCAAGAUCUGAUCGUAACCUAGUGUUUCUUGUCCCUGUGUGCAGUGCAGAGAUGGUUCGCGGAGGGCAUAAUCAAGCAAAUAAAUGACAGAAUGCUUUUUAUUUCAUGUCGACGUGCAAUUUAUGUAUAGUUGACCGGGAAAUUAAAGCAGCGAUCACUUGGACUAUUCCGUAGCACCCCUCUCACAGUGGUACAUCCCUCCAGGUAACCAUUCACAAGUCUUGUACAGUAGAGCGGGACAUUACGUUUACUCUCAGCGGAAUUCACCCGAGAAGGCAUAUAAGUUCCUGCACUGCACUGGCCUGCACCACGAUUAGUAUAAGGUGGAAUAAUGCACGAAUGGAUAAAAAAGAGUGAGAGGUCAGUGGAGAUCCGUGUCCAGGGGAGUGAUGCUAUUGCGAGUGUGAAAGGUUGUCCAGGAAGUAACUAAGAAGACAUGAACAGAGAGGUGGUGAUCCUCAGAGGAGCGAUGAAGUAGAGCAGCCAGCGCUCCAAGUAGAGCAGGCACUGUGGAAAAAUAGUUGUGACUCAACCAGACCAUUACAAAGUAUGGCCUGGAGGAUUUUCAUCUCAAGGUGCAAGAACAUUCUUAAUGACUGUACACGGCGGCUGCUGAUGGACGAUGUUGGGCCAGAUGUGCUACAGUUAGCGUUAAGGAGGUUGGAGACAAUGCAGAGAAGCCUUCGGUGGGCAAGAGGAAGACUGAUCAAUGUAACUGCAGCAGAUCAACUUCUGCGUGACUUGGCUGAAUUGAUUCAGGAGGUCGAACUGUCUACUCAGGAUGGCCAACAAGGCUGUUUUGGAUACCAGGCACCAGUGGUUUUCAACAGAGGUAGAGGAAGAUCCCUUUACCUUAUCACUCGGGAACAGCUUUCAUUCCUGAAGUCAUGUGGAUUCACUGCACCUCAGAUGGCUGAUAUUUUGAAUGUUUCACUUCGUACAAUUCGAAGACGUCUGCGACAGUAUCAUUUCACCCGUGCAUCAAUGUAUGCGGAACUGACUGACAGUGCCUUGGAUGAACAUGUGCAGGACAUUGUUGCUGGCAAUGAACAAAUUGGUCCUGAGGCUGUCAGAGCCUCCCUGCGAGUACGUGGACUACGUGUACAGCAAAGGAGGGUUGGAGCAAGCAUGUUACGGAUGAAUCCUGGAGCAGCUGCCCUUAGAGCAGUUUUGCGGAGACCAGAAUGAAGAACAUAUCAGGUUGCAGGUCCAAACUCAUUGUGGCACAUUGAUGGAAAUCACAAGCUAAUACGGUGGAGGAUAGUCAUUCAUGGGGCUAUUGAUGGAUACAGUCGUCUUGUGGUCUUCCUUCAUGCCUCAAACAACAACCGUAGCAGUACCGUUUUAUCAAGUUUCAUCAGACCCGUGGUAUCCUAUGGUGUACCCUCGAGGGUCCGGACAGACAGAGGAGGGGAAAACAAUGCUGUCUGCCUGAUGAUGAACAUUUUCAGAGGCUUUGAUCGUGGAAGUGCCCUACGAGGAAGGAGUACCCAUAAUCAGAGAAUUGAGAGGCUCUGAGGUGAUCUGUGGUGAGGAAUGCCCAAUGUCUACUGUGAUUUAUUUCACCACCUGGAGGAGGAAGGCAUCAUUGACAUUGACAAUGAAAUGCACCUUUGGGCUCUCCAUUACAUCUAUCUCCCAAAGAUCAACAGAGAUUUGAAAGACUUCACUCAACAGUGGAACAAUCAUGGCUUGCGGACAGAGAGACACUUGAGCCCUUUACAGAUUUUUGUCCGAGGCAGCCUCCAGCAACAGGGCCGAGCCUCAACUGCCAUGCAGGACAUCUUUCAGACUAGAGCAGCUGCUGCUGCUGGGACUAUUGGUGGGACAGCUGAUGGUAGUGUGACAGCCACUGAGAAUGAGACGACUGCUGCUCAGGGCUUAAGUACGGACUCUGGUGGUGGUGGUGCUCAUGGUACAGAUGAGCUGGGACUGCUAGUCGACUGGCCUGAGAGGAUUAAUGUGCCAGACAUUGAAUUUACUCUGGACGGACCAAUGAUGGAGCAAGUGGUAGAACUAUUUAAUCCACUAACUGGCACCAGAGGGAGUCAUGGUAUUGAACUCAUCUCUGGCUUAAUAUACUUUCUGGACUCCACAUAUCACUGACACAGUUCAAUUAAUGACUGAAACAUAAUAGCAGCAAGUGGAAAGACUUCAAAAUAUCUAGGUGACUGGAUACAUAUAAUGUGAAAAGUUAUAAUACGUGUUUACUAUGUACCAUUGAGUAGUGGAGAUACAAGAACGAGCUGUGUGACACUGACAAUAAAAAAAUGUUGAGUGAUUUUUAAAGUGUAUAAGAUGGAAGUUGUGAAAUGGAAAGUAUACAACUGAAACUGAAUCUCGAUAAAGUCAACUUGAUUAAUCUAAAAGUUACAGCUGUUGAUAUUGAUAAAUACAACUAUAAGGCAGUGACAGUAAAUAAUUAAAAAAUAAAAAAGUGUAUAGUAGGUCUUGAAGUGGCUCAGUAUAGUGUAGUAGAUAUAAAGUGGUUUAGCGUGUGUUUGAUGUUGUGACAGUUCACACCGAGCACAUUAUGUUUUGCUUUGUACAGAUUAUGCUUUGUACAAACAUAGUUCUGAAAAUACUGGACUCCAGUGUAAAAUGUGAAUAAAAAAAAGAGCAAGCAGUGAUUUGCAAAUGUCAAAGGCAAAGUUUAUUCACAGUAGAACAUAGAAAACAUGUCAAAUGUUUACACCGAGACUAUGUCGUUAAAAAUAAGUCCAUUUUAAUUUGAUGGCAGCAAUAUGUUUCAAAACAGUUGGGAUGGGGCAAGAGAAGGCUGGAAAAAGUGGUACUAAAAAGAAACAGCUGCAGGGAUAUUUUUUAAAAGUAACAGGUCAGUUACAUGAUUAGAUAUUAAAAGCAUCUUAGAGAAGCAGAGUUGCUCUGGAGGAAAUAUGGGCAGAGGUUGAUCAAUCUGCAAAAAAACUCCAUUAACAAAUUGUGCAACAAUUUCAGAAUAAUGUUCCCAAAUGUAAAGUUGUAAAGACUUAAAAUAUUCCAUCCUCUAGAGGCAUAAAAAUAUAUUUUAUCAAAAGAUUCAGUGACUGGAGAAAUCUCUUUGCAGAAACAAUGAGGCUAAAAGCCAUGAUGUCAGUGAUCUUCAAACGCUCACAGGAAAGUUAUCAUCAUGGAGCAUUAAACAGACACGAUUCUCUCAUGGAAAUCAGUGCAUUUCCUGUAUCCUUUGGGGCAACAGACCUGAGUCACACUUUUAGAGAGGUACCUGAUGAGGUGGAUUGAGAGGAAUAUCCAUGAUGCAUGGCAGUUUGUUCACUCACUUCCUCUCCACCACAGCUUCCGAA
Oreochromis niloticus (Nile tilapia) is the source of this 4068-nucleotide long non-coding RNA. RefSeq lists it as uncharacterized. The transcript has 7 exons. The record is from RefSeq and is a predicted model, not a curated record. Lineage: Eukaryota; Metazoa; Chordata; Actinopteri; Cichliformes; Cichlidae.